RNAcentral lists this ribosomal RNA (441 nucleotides) under uncultured bacterium. RNAcentral's name for it is "partial 16S ribosomal RNA". It matches the Rfam family "Bacterial small subunit ribosomal RNA", at positions 338 to 795 of the family's 1533-position model. The record is from RNAcentral.
CCUACGGGGGGCAGCAGUGGGGAAUAUUGCACAAUGGGGGAAACCCUGAUGCAGCAACGCCGCGUGAAGGAAGACUGCUCUCGGAUUGUAAACUUUUGUUUUUAGUGAAGAAUAAUGACGGUAGCUAAGGAGCAAGCCACGGCUAACUACGUGCCAGCAGCCGCGGUAAUACGUAGGUGGCAAGCGUUGUCCGGAAUUACUGGGUGUAAAGGGAGCGCAGGCGGGAAGCCAAGUCAGGUGUGAAAACUACGGGCUUAACUUUUAGACUGCAGUUGAAACUGGUUGUCUUGAGUGAAGUAGAGGUGGGCGGAAUUCGGGGUGUAGCGGUGAAAUGCGUAGAUAUUACGAAGAACACCGAUGGCGAAGGCAGCCAACUGGACUUUAACUGACGCUGAGGCUCGAAAGUGUGGGGAGCAAACAGGAUUAGAUACCCUGGUAGUC